CAACCCAGACCACCAUCUAAGGUCCCUAAGCGCGUGCUAAGUGGGAAAGGAUGUGGAGUUGCAUAGACAACCAGGAGGUUGGCUUAGAAGCAGCCACCCUUGAAAGAGUGCGUAAUAGCUCACUGGUCAAGUGAUUCCGCGCCGACAAUGUAACGGGGCUCAAGCACGCCACCGAAGUUGUGGCAUUUAUAUUAUAGGCAGGCCUUCGUGGUCCAGCCGUAUGGAUGGGUAGGAGAGCGUCGUGUGGCCAGCGAAGCGGCGGUGUGAACCAGCCGUGGAGGCCACACGAGUGAGAAUGCAGGCAUGAGUAGCGAAAGACGGGUGAGAAACCCGUCCUCCGAAAGACCAAGGGUUCCAGGGCCAGGCUAAUCCGCCCUGGGUAAGUCGGGACCUAAGGCGAGGCCGACAGGCGUAGUCGAUGGACAACGGGUUGAUAUUCCCGUACCGAUGAAGAACCGCCCAAGACAAUCCAGUAAUGCUAAGUGUCUGAAUCCUUGAUUCGAUCCCUUCGGGGUGACGGUCUUGGCCUAGCACACGACCCUACGCUGGGGCGUUUAGCGUAUUAACAGGUGUGACGCAGGAAGGUAGCUGAGCCGGGCGAUGGUUGUCCCGGUCUAAGGAUGUAGGGCAGAAGAUAGGCAAAUCCGUCUUCUAUGUAGCCUGAGACCCGAUGGGUAGUCCU
Molecule: ribosomal RNA, 682 nt
Filed under: Clavibacter michiganensis
Lineage: Bacteria; Bacillati; Actinomycetota; Actinomycetes; Micrococcales; Microbacteriaceae
Also listed under: 1 other name
Description: partial 23S ribosomal RNA
Rfam family: Bacterial large subunit ribosomal RNA
Source: RNAcentral